This 78-nucleotide transfer RNA is filed under the name Lactobacillus gasseri 224-1. RNAcentral describes it as "tRNA-Asp". Lineage: Bacteria; Bacillati; Bacillota; Bacilli; Lactobacillales; Lactobacillaceae. The record is from RNAcentral.
UGGUCCCUUGGUGUAGUGGUUAUCACGCCUCCCUGUCACGGAGGAGAUCACCGGUCCGAAUCCGGUAGGGACCGUAAU